GAUGAACGCUAGCUACAGGCUUAACACAUGCAAGUCGAGGGGAAACGAUAGAGAAAGCUUGCUUUUUCUAGGCGUCGACCGGCGCACGGGUGAGUAACGCGUAUCCAACCUGCCCACCACUUGGGGAUAACCUUGCGAAAGUAAGACUAAUACCCAACGACGUCUCUAGAAGACAUCUGAAAGAGAUUAAAGAUUUAUCGGUGAUGGAUGGGGAUGCGUCUGAUUAGCUUGUUGGCGGGGUAACGGCCCACCAAGGCGACGAUCAGUAGGGGUUCUGAGAGGAAGGUCCCCCACAUUGGAACUGAGACACGGUCCAAACUCCUACGGGAGGCAGCAGUGAGGAAUAUUGGUCAAUGGGCGAGAGCCUGAACCAGCCAAGUAGCGUGCAGGAUGACGGCCCUAUGGGUUGUAAACUGCUUUUAUAAGGGAAUAAAGUGGGAGUCGUGACUCUUUUUAGCAUGUACCUUAUGAAUAAGGACCGGCUAAAUUCCGUG
Molecule: ribosomal RNA, 494 nt
Filed under: uncultured bacterium
Lineage: Bacteria
Description: bacterial SSU rRNA
Rfam family: Bacterial small subunit ribosomal RNA
Source: RNAcentral